Molecule: non-coding RNA, 3470 nt
Organism: Paramisgurnus dabryanus
Lineage: Eukaryota; Metazoa; Chordata; Actinopteri; Cypriniformes; Cobitidae
Source: RefSeq, a predicted model, not a curated record
AUCCCAGAAUGUCAUCUAUAUGUAUGUCUCUGUUAUAUAUGCGUAUGAAUGGGCCUUUCUGAAUGAAGAGUUGCAUGCUGAAGGGAAGAUAAGAUUGCCACAAGCCAGCGAGGUCAUUCCAGCUGAAAACAUGCAUUGCACAAGCUCAUGUUGUUGACAUAACAGAAAGAGAGUGGCAAGAGAGAUGGUUUUACAGAGGGUUUUGACUUUAACCCAUAUAUGCUGGAAUGACUCAUGGUGUGUGGCACUCGUUCAGUUGACAGGAAAGCAGGAACAAAUUUUUGAUUUUGACAAUUCAGUACCCCACAUCUCCAUUGCAAAAAAUACUAGUCAGCCGUUAGAAAUGCAGGUGAAUUUGCAAAGGCCUGCAGCGAGGCUGUUGAUUGGGAACCAUUGGCAGAUAGCAUACAGUUCUCAGAGCAGUUAUCAGCACACAGAAGAGAUUAUGCUGCUUUUUCAUGGCUGAGAGAGAGAGAGUUGUAAUACAGAAAGCUGUUUCUGCAGAUUUCAACUCACAAAACAGUUUGUCAGUACACAUGACGUGUGCUAGCAUUGAUUUACCGCAAGAGGUUCUUGACAAUGUACCUGAUUACCUGUGGGCUAAAGACAAGUAUGAUGUGGGCUUGAUUAAAGGGUGUGAACCAGUAACUAUCACCCCAAAGAGUGAUUAUAGACCAUGUAAACCCCAAUAUCCUCUGAAAAGGGAGGCGCUUGAGGGGAUAAGGCCAGUAUUUAAGGCAUUAUUGGGAUAAUUAUUCCCUGCCCACACUCACCUGUGAGAACACCCAUUUUUCCUGUACAAAAGGUCAGGGAUGCAGGUCAGCCCACAGAGUGGAGGUUUGUUCAAGAUCUCCAAGCAGGAAAAGCUGUGGUACAAGCAAGAGCACCUCACGUGCCAAACCCUUACACAAUUCUCUCACAGAUACCAGCUGAUGGCCAGUGGUUUUCAGUGUAGUGGAUAUUUCAAGUGCAUUCUUCAGAGUUCCUGUCCAUUCUGAUAGCCAGUUUUGGUUUGAUUUUACAUUUAAGGGGUAUAGCGAGAGCCGCACUAUUUACAAACUCUGCAUUGCAUUGUUCAUUACAGACACUUGUGUUGGAUGAUGAUGUUGCUUUAUUGCAGUACGUGGAUGACCUCUUGGUGGCGGCACCGACUCAGCAGUCGUGCACAGACAACACCAUACGGCUGCUCACUCAUCUAUCUGAGGAGGGCCACAAGGUCAACCCCAAAAAGGUACAGUGCUCUGUCCAGAAAGUAACCUUUCUAGGACACGAAAUUACACCUAUGGGUAAGUCUCUCUCUCCAAAGAGAAUAGAGGCAAUAGCUAACAUACCAAAACCCAUUACAAAGAAACAGGUGAUGUCAUUCUUGGGUAUGACAUCAUAUUGCAGGACUUUUAUUGCUAAUUAUUCUGAGAUGCAACAACCAUUGCAUGACAUGAUUUAUGAGAAACCUUUGGCACCAUCAGAGAAGGUAGAAUGGACAGAGAAGGCUGAAGGGGCAUUUGUGGAACUAAAACAGACAUUACAGCAGGCACCCACUUUGGGGCUGCCAUAUCCAAAAAAGCCUUUUAUUCAAAUGGUGGAUGAAAGAAAUGGCUGUAUGACAUCUGUUUUGUUGCAAGAACAUGGUGACAAGUUGAGACCAGUUGCAUAUUUUUCAGGACGCCUUGAUGCGGUGGCCAGGGGCCUACCAGGAUGUCUCAGGGCUUGAAAGCGCACAUCUCACUUGUCUGCAGCAAGAUGGCUGCGUUAUUCCUGUGCAUUGUUUCAGAUGUCUAAUGUCACAGUUGAAAGAUGUACAGUGCUAAACCCGGCGACAUUGUUACCUACACCUGAUGAAGGUACACCACAUUGUUGUUUGUCUGCCCUACGGGAAGUAUGCACACCAAGGCCUGACCUUGCUGACACACCCAUACCUAAAUGCACCCUCACAUAUUAUGUGGAUGGUUCCUCUUCCAGAGAUGACAGAGGCAUAGAUAGGAUGGGGUGGGCAGUUGUGUCUGACUUUGAAGUAGUGAAAUCCGGAUGCUUACCACCUCAGAAAUCUGCAAAGGUGGCUGAAUUGCAUGCACUAACACAAGCUUGUCAACUUGCUACUAAUCAAUCUAUAACCAUUUACAUUGACUGCUGAUUUUACUGACAGUUUCUCUCCUAUAACAAAUUUUACUCCUUUCUCAAAUAGCUGUGUGCAAAUGCAAAGCACACACCAAGGAACAGGACGUGAUCUCCAGAGGAAAUGCACGCACGGAUGCGGAAGCAUCUCUCAUGACUACUAACAAAAACGUUUCUCUUACACAGAUUUCCCAGGAAAAGGAAGCCGAAACACCACAGGAGUUACUAAUAAGCAUGCAAACAUUUUCUCUUCCAACAGAAAUAGCUCUAUGGAAAUCGUGUGGAGCAACCAAAACUCCUGAAGGGAUUUGGAUGGGUCUAAAUCAAAAACUUUGCUUACCUAAACAUUUUUAUUCCCAUUUUGCUAGGUUGACACAUGGGGACCACGGUGACAUGCGAUACUCUUCAAAAUGAAAAUGACAUGUUGCAAUAUUGUAUUUCUAUGUCCUCUGUAUUUCAAAAUAUCUCCAAAGCAGGUUAAAUCAGCCCUACCCCGUCCAGUAGAAGAACCAUUACACAACAUCAAACCAGGGGAUUACGUGGUGGUAAAGAACCUCAGGAGGAAAUCCUGGAAAGCCAGACGGUGGGAGGGGCCAUUUCAGUUUCUGCUGACGACUCACACCGCUGUGAAGGUCGCGGAGCGUGCCACCUGGGUGCACGUUGCCCAUUGCCGGAGGGUUGGUCCUGGACUGCAAGGUGUAAACCAAAGGGAGGACGGCUAGUCGACUGCUACGGACCACUUUUUCGUAUUGGUGGGAACCACAGAUACCUGUAUACUGCAAGUUUAUACGAAGAACGACACGAGAGAACUGCAACAGCUCACAAAGUAUUGGAGGACGACUCCAGUAUUCUGGGUUUGGUUUGGACACACGCACACGACAUCUUUAAUGUGGGUAAUCGACACGACGCUUGCAGCUUAAUAACUGUAAUUACAACACCAGCUUUGAGACCCCACAUUAAUUUAGACACUAAGAUAAUUUCAUUCGAACAAGAAAGCAGGAUAGCUUGGCACGAUUGCACCGUGUGGUCCUACCAAACCCGAACCUACAAAGGAAAUUAAUCAACAAGGGCUCACGACCCCAACUCUAACUGUGCUCAGGGCUCACGACCCCAACUCUAACUGUGCUCAAUCUGGAAUCAUCAAGGGCUCACGACCCCAACUCUAACUGUGCUCAAUUUCUUCAAGAAAACGAACUAUUUUUCUUCUUUCAAAAAUGAGAUUCAUGAUCAUACUAUGUGUGUGUGCAUUUUUACUUUUGCAACUGCACAGAACUAUAUGUACACUAUGGUUAAGGGUAAUAACCAGAGCUACGUAACGAUGACAGUAAAUGAAGUUAUGAAUAAAUCAUAAAAAGGGA